AUGGCAGCCACAAGUGGUGCUAAAUUAGAAAGUGAACACGCCUCUGCGUCCCAGAAUCGAUCGAAAUCUACCUCGAGAAAAUCGUCCAGAGACCGACGAUCUCCUAUCCAUCUGACGCCGAACGGACAGGCGCCGAAAGGCUUCCCAGAUGCGAAAAGUGAGAAACCCUCCGAGGACAGGCUCACACCGGGCUCCUCUCCUCUUUCCAAUCAGGAAAAAGUCCUGAAGGAGCCCGACAAUCAGCCAAAAUCACCAGCCGAGCUGAAACCGCCUUCCACGCCUUCGAUCAACACCAACUCCACGAGAAACGAAACGAGGACCCCACCAGAUAGCACAGACAAUAACGACAAUAAAAUCGAACAAAAACUCACCCCUAACCAUACGCCAGAAAAGGACAAUCCACCCCCGAGAAAAACUCCCGAAAAAGUCGAGGAGGUUAAAAUUGAGUCCCCAGGGCUAAGACCUAAAACUGCGGAAAAUAGGGGUGAAAAUCAGAUCCGACCUGACUCGGUUGAACAGAGACCUAUCAAACCUAGCGGUGCUAGCUUAGAAAAAACACUAUCCAUCGAAAAUUCCAGUAAUCAACCUUCAAAGGACGAGCCCAAAAGGUUACCAGAGGUUAACAGGCCAGACCCUCCAAAACCGACCAGUCCUAAUACCUUCCCUGAAAAACCACCAACCCCAAUAUCCGCCAAACCCCCCACGCCGACUGCCCCUAGUAAGCCUGCCACCCCUAGCCCCGCUCCGACAGGCAACCCCACUAAUUCGAAACCCCCAACCCCACAAGAACAAAGAUUCUCCGAAUCCCCACAGAGGGAUCCUGUCGUGACCCCUCAACCUUUCACGAGGUCGGAGCCCCCUAAAAAUAUACCCAGGCCCGCGACGGGUGAGCGGCGGGUGGAGCCCCAAAAAUCAUCCCCGGACUUCUCGCCGAAAUUCGGGAUCAGAGAACCCCCUUCCCCGAAAGAUUUAGGGAGGAAAUUAGUAACAGCACCAGGUGAGGUUAGGUUUGAUGACGCCGGAAAAAGAAUGAGCACAUCGCCGGGGAAAGUGCCGGAUUCGAACCGGUUCGACAGACCGGAAUCGCGGGGCGAACCGGUCGCGAGACCCAAAACAUCGGACGCCGCGCCGAAGAUGGUCAAACCGAUGGACAGUAUGCCUGGCCAGAGACAGGAACAGUAUCAAACCAUGAGGAACCUGGCUGAAAAAGGUCGAGGGGGCACACCGGGGGAUUUUAGGCAGGAUUCUAUUGGGGAUCGAACCUCCGAACCACCUCGGUCUGCACCGCCCAUGGUUAAGAAACCGGUUGCCGGGCCGCCUCCGGAAUAUUAG
This 1332-nucleotide long non-coding RNA is filed under the name Bemisia tabaci. RNAcentral describes it as "lncRNA ENSSSA1NGG007519". Lineage: Eukaryota; Metazoa; Arthropoda; Insecta; Hemiptera; Aleyrodidae. The record is from RNAcentral.